CCUACGGGAUGCAGCAGUGGGGAAUAUUGCGCAAUGGGCGAAAGCCUGACGCAGCGAAGCCGCGUGAGGGAUGAAGGUCUUCGGAUCGUAAACCUCUGUCAGCAGGGAAGAACGGUCACUGUGCUAAUCAGCAGUGAAUUGACGGUACCUGCAAAGGAAGAACAGGCUAACUCCGUGCCAGCAGCCGCGGUAAUACGGAGGGUGCGAGCGUUAAUCGGAAUUACUGGGCUUAAAGCGCUCGUAGGCGGUAUGUCAAGUCAAGGGGGAAAUCCCCGCGCUCAACGUGGGAACUGCCUUUGAAACUGGCAAACUGGAGUGUGUGAGAGGAUAGUGGAAUGCCAGGUGUAGGAGUGAAAUCCGUAGAUAUCUGGAGGAACAUCAGUGGCGAAGGCGACUAUCUGGCACAUAACUGACGCUGAGGAGCGAAAGCGUGGGUAGCAAACAGGAUUAGAUACCCUGGUAGUC
RNAcentral lists this ribosomal RNA (465 nucleotides) under uncultured bacterium. RNAcentral describes it as "partial 16S ribosomal RNA". It matches the Rfam family "Bacterial small subunit ribosomal RNA", at positions 338 to 795 of the family's 1533-position model. The record is from RNAcentral.